RNAcentral lists this ribosomal RNA (497 nucleotides) under uncultured bacterium. Its description in RNAcentral is "partial 16S ribosomal RNA". It matches the Rfam family "Bacterial small subunit ribosomal RNA", at positions 28 to 507 of the family's 1533-position model. The record is from RNAcentral.
GAUGAACGCUGGCGGCGUGCCUAACACAUGCAAGUCGAACGGAAGGACGAGAAGUUUGCUUCGCUGAUGUUUGCGGCGGAGGGGUGAGUAACAUGUGGAUAACUCCCCUAUAAGAGUGGAGUAAGUUCAGGGCCGGGGUGCUACUACCUACGAAUAUCUUGUAACGCAGGGGGCCAUAGUGAACUAGGGCCUUGCGGUCACUUGUAGACGGAUCCGCGCUGUAUUAGCUAGUUGGUAAGGUAACGGCCUACCAAGGCGACGAUCCAUAGGCGGCCUGAGAGGGUGAUCAGCCACACUGGAACUGAGACACGGUCCAGACUCCUACGGGAGGCAGCAGUGGGGAAUCUUCCACAAUGGGCGAAAGCCUGACGGAGCAACGCCGCGUGUGUGAAGAAGGCCUUCGGAUUGUAAAGCUCUGUUAUCAGGAAAGAACACAUGUGUACUUAUCCGGUCGCAUCUUGACGGUACCUAAUCAGAAAGCCCCGGCUAACUACGUG